RNAcentral lists this ribosomal RNA (1210 nucleotides) under bacterium. RNAcentral's name for it is "bacterial SSU rRNA". It matches the Rfam family "Bacterial small subunit ribosomal RNA", at positions 56 to 1248 of the family's 1533-position model. The record is from RNAcentral.
UGCAAGUCGAGCGGACCGACGGGAGCUUGCUCCCUUAGGUCAGCGGCGGACGGGUGAGUAACACGUGGGUAACCUGCCUGUAAGACUGGGAUAACUCCGGGAAACCGGGGCUAAUACCGGAUGCUUGAUUGAACCGCAUGGUUCAAUCAUAAAAGGUGGCUUUUAGCUACCACUUACAGAUGGACCCGCGGCGCAUUAGCUAGUUGGUGAGGUAACGGCUCACCAAGGCGACGAUGCGUAGCCGACCUGAGAGGGUGAUCGGCCACACUGGGACUGAGACACGGCCCAGACUCCUACGGGAGGCAGCAGUAGGGAAUCUUCCGCAAUGGACGAAAGUCUGACGGAGCAACGCCGCGUGAGUGAUGAAGGUUUUCGGAUCGUAAAACUCUGUUGUUAGGGAAGAACAAGUACCGUUCGAAUAGGGCGGUACCUUGACGGUACCUAACCAGAAAGCCACGGCUAACUACGUGCCAGCAGCCGCGGUAAUACGUAGGUGGCAAGCGUUGUCCGGAAUUAUUGGGCGUAAAGCGCGCGCAGGCGGUUUCUUAAGUCUGAUGUGAAAGCCCCCGGCUCAACCGGGGAGGGUCAUUGGAAACUGGGGAACUUGAGUGCAGAAGAGGAGAGUGGAAUUCCACGUGUAGCGGUGAAAUGCGUAGAGAUGUGGAGGAACACCAGUGGCGAAGGCGACUCUCUGGUCUGUAACUGACGCUGAGGCGCGAAAGCGUGGGGAGCGAACAGGAUUAGAUACCCUGGUAGUCCACGCCGUAAACGAUGAGUGCUAAGUGUUAGAGGGUUUCCGCCCUUUAGUGCUGCAGCAAACGCAUUAAGCACUCCGCCUGGGGAGUACGGUCGCAAGACUGAAACUCAAAGGAAUUGACGGGGGCCCGCACAAGCGGUGGAGCAUGUGGUUUAAUUCGAAGCAACGCGAAGAACCUUACCAGGUCUUGACAUCCUCUGACAACCCUAGAGAUAGGGCUUCCCCUUCGGGGGCAGAGUGACAGGUGGUGCAUGGUUGUCGUCAGCUCGUGUCGUGAGAUGUUGGGUUAAGUCCCGCAACGAGCGCAACCCUUGAUCUUAGUUGCCAGCAUUCAGUUGGGCACUCUAAGGUGACUGCCGGUGACAAACCGGAGGAAGGUGGGGAUGACGUCAAAUCAUCAUGCCCCUUAUGACCUGGGCUACCCCCGUGCUACAAUGGGCAGAACAAAGGGCA